AGGACGAACGCUGGCGGCGUGCUUAACACAUGCAAGUGGAGCGACGAACCAGGCUUCGGCCUGGGGCAGAGCCGCGAACGGGUGAGUAACACGUGGGUAACCUGCCCUGAUGAUUGGGACAACCCGAGGAAACUCGGGCUAAUACCAAAUGUGCCCUCUGGCCUCAAGGCCUCUGGGGAAAGGAGCUUCGGCCUCCGCAUUGGGAUGGGCCCGCGGCCCAUUAGCUUGUUGGUGAGGUAACGGCUCACCAAGGCUACGAUGGGUAGCUGGUCUGAGAGGACGAUCAGCCACACUGGGACUGAGACACGGCCCAGACUCCUACGGGAGGCAGCAGUGGGGAAUUUUGCGCAAUGGGGGAAACCCUGACGCAGCAACGCCGCGUGGAGGAUGAAGUCCCUUGGGACGUAAACUCCUUUCGAUCGGGACGAUAAUGACGGUACCGGGAGAAGAAGCCCCGGCUAACUUCGUGCCAGCAGCCGC
Molecule: ribosomal RNA, 480 nt
Filed under: uncultured bacterium
Lineage: Bacteria
Description: SSU rRNA
Rfam family: Bacterial small subunit ribosomal RNA
Source: RNAcentral